RNAcentral lists this ribosomal RNA (460 nucleotides) under uncultured bacterium. Its description in RNAcentral is "partial 16S ribosomal RNA". It matches the Rfam family "Bacterial small subunit ribosomal RNA", at positions 338 to 795 of the family's 1533-position model. The record is from RNAcentral.
CCUACGGGAGGCAGCAGUGAGGACUAUUGGUCAAUGGACGAGAGUCUGAACCAGCCAAGUAGCGUGAAGGAUGACUGCCCUAUGGGUUGUAAACUUCUUUUAUAAAGGAAUAAAACGAGGCACGUGUGCCUUUUUGCAUGUACUUUAUGAAUAAGGAUCGGCUAACUCCGUGCCAGCAGCCGCGGUAAUACGGAGGAUCCGAGCGUUAUCCGGAUGUCUUGGGUUUAAAGGGAGCGUAGAUGGGUUGUUAAGUCAGUUGUGAAAGUUUGCGGCUCAACCGUAAAAUUGCAAUUGAUACUGGCAGUCGUGAGUACAGUUGAGGUAAGCGGAAUUCGUGGUGUAGCGGUGAAAUGCUUAGAUAUCACGAAGAACCCCGAUUGCGAAGGCAGCUUACUAAACUGUGACUGACAUUGAUGCUCGAAAGUGUGGGUAUCAAACAGGAUUAGAUACCCGUGUAGUC